This is a long non-coding RNA of Oncorhynchus keta (chum salmon), 3371 nucleotides long. RefSeq lists it as uncharacterized. The record is from RefSeq and is a predicted model, not a curated record. NCBI's taxonomy places the organism in Eukaryota, Metazoa, Chordata, Actinopteri, Salmoniformes, Salmonidae. The transcript has 3 exons.
ACCAUUUAGUUUCCCCAGUGUGUGGAGUGCUGAAGGUUCAUUGAGUUACCAUUUAGUUUCCCCAGUGUGUGGAGUGCUGAAGGUUCAUUGAGUUACCAUUUAGUUUCCCCAGUGUGUGGAGUGCUGAAGGUUCAUUGAGUUACCAUUUAGUUUCCCCAGUGUGUGGAGUGCUGAAGGUUCAUUGAGUUACCAUUUAGUUUCCCCAGUGUGUGGAGUGCUGAAGGUUCAUUGAGUUACCAUUUAGUUUCCCCAGUGUGUGGAGUGCUGAAGGUUCAUUGAGUUACCAUUUAGUUUCCCCAGUGUGUGGAGUGCUGAAGGUUCAUUGAGUUACCAUUUAGUUUCCCCAGUGUGUGGAGUGCUGAAGGUUCAUUGAGUUACCAUUUAGUUUCCCCAGUGUGUGGAGUGCUGAAGGUUCAUUGAGUUACCAUUUAGUUUCCCCAGUGUGUGGAGUGCUGAAGGUUCAUUGAGUUACCAUUUAGUUUCCCCAGUGUGUGGAGUGCUGAAGGUUCAUUGAGUUACCAUUUAGUUUCCCCAGUGUGUGGAGUGCUGAAGGUUCAUUGAGUUACCAUUUAGUUUCCCCAGUGUGUGGAGUGCUGAAGGUUCAUUGAGUUACCAUUUAGUUUCCCCAGUGUGUGGAGUGCUGAAGGUUCAUUGAGUUACCAUUUAGUUUCCCCAGUGUGUGGAGUGCUGAAGGUUCAUUGAGUUACCAUUUAGUUUCCCCAGUGUGUGGAGUGCUGAAGGUUCAUUGAGUUACCAUUUAGUUUCCCCAGUGUGUGGAGUGCUGAAGGUUCAUUGAGUUACCAUUUAGUUUCCCCAGUGUGUGGAGUGCUGAAGUUUCAUUGAGUUACCAUUUAGUUUCCUCUGUUUGUGGUGUGCUGAUUGUUCCGGGUGGAGAUUAUAACAGAACAUGGCCAAGAUGUUCAAAUGUUCAUAAAUGACCAGCAUGGUCAAAUAAUAAUAAUCACAGGCAGAACAGUUGAAACUGAAGCAGCAGCACGGCCAGGUGGACUGGGGACAGCAAGGAGUCCUCAUGCCAGGUAGUCCUGAGGCAUGGUCCUAGGGCUCAGGUCCUCCGAAAGAAGGAGAGAAAGAGAGAAUUAGAGAGAGCAUACUUAUAUUCACACAGGACACCGGAUAGGACAGGAGAAGUACUCCAGAUAUAACAAACUGACCCUAGCCCCCCGACACAUAAACUACUGCAGCAUAAAUACUGGAGGCUGAGACAGGAGACACUGUGGCCCCAUCCAAUGAUACCCCCGGACAGGGCCAAACAGGAAGGAUAUAACCCCACCCACUUUGCCAAAGCACAGCCCCCACACCACUAGAGGGAUAUCUUCAACCACCAACUUACCAUCCUGAGACAAGGCCGAGUAUAGCCCACAAAGAUCUCCGCCACGGCACAACCCAAGGGGGGGGGGGGGGCGCCAACCCAGACAGGAAGAUCAUGUCAGUGACGGCAUGAAAGAGCACCAGUAAGCCAGUGACUCAGCCCCUGUAAUAGGGUUAGAGGCAGAGAAUCCCAAUGGAAAGAGGGGAACUGGCCAGGCAGAGACAGCAAGGGUGGUUCGUUGCUCCAGAGCCUUUCCGUUCACCUUCCCACUCCUGGGCCAGACUACACUCAAUCAUAUGACCCACUGAAGAGAUGAAUCUUCAGUAAAGACUUAAAGAUUGAGACCGAGUUUGCGUCUCUGACAUGGGUUGGCAGACCGUUCCAUAAAAAUGGACCUCUAUAGGAGAAAGCCCUGCCUCCAGCUGUUUGCUUAGAAAUUCUAGGGACAAUUAGGAGGCCUGCGUCUUGUGACCGUAGCGUACGUGUAGGUAUGUACGGCAGGACCAAAUCAGAAAGAUAGGUAGGAGCAAGCCCAUGUGAUGCUUUGUAGGUUAGCAGUAAAACCUUGAAAUCAGCCCUUGCCUUGACAGGAAGCCAGUGUAGGGAGGCUAGCACAAAAGCAUGGAUACAUUUUUCUGCAGGAUUUUCUUACAGAAAGUUUCUGAUUUUUGCAAUGUUAUGUAGAUGGAAAAAAGCUGUCCUUGAAACAGUGUUGAUAUGUUCGUGAAAAGAGAGAUCGGGGUCCAGAGUAACGCCAAUGGCCUUUACAGUUUUAUUUGAGACGACUGUACAACCAUCAAGAUUAAUUGUCAGAUUCAAUAGAAGAUCUCUUUGUUUCUUGGGACCUAGAACAAGCAUCUCUGUUUUGUCUGAGUUUAAAAGUAGAAAGUUUGCAGCCAUCCACUUCCUUAUGUCUGAAACACAGGCUUCCAGCGAGGGCAAUUUUGGGGCUUCACCAUGUUUCAUUGAAAUGUACAGCUGUGUGUCAUCUGCAUAACAGUGAAAGUUAACCUUGUGUUUCUGAAUGACAUCAUCAAGAGGUAAAAUACAUAGUGGAAACAAUAGUGGUCCUAAAACGGAACCCUGAGUAACACCGAAAUGUACAGUUGAUUUGUCAGAGGACAAACCAUCCACAGAGACAAACGGAUAUCUUUCCGACAGAUAAGAUCUAAACCAGGCCAGAACUUGUCCGUGUAGACCAAUUUGAGUUUCCAAUCUCUCCAAAAUAAUGUGGUGAUUGAUGGUAAUCACAAGCAGCACUACGGUCUAGGAGCACGAGGACAGAUGCAGAGCCUCGGUCUAGGAGCACGAGGACAGAUGCAGAGCAUCGGUCUAGGAGCACGAGGACAGAUGCAGAGCCUCGGUCUAGGAGCACGAGGACAGAUGCAGAGCCUCGGUCUAGGAGCACGAGGACAGAUGCAGAGCCUCGGUCUAGGAGCACGAGGACAGAUGCAGAGCCUCGGUCUAGGAGCACGAGGACAGAUGCAGAGCCUCGGUCUAGGAGCACGAGGACAGAUGCAGAGCCUCGGUCUAGGAGCACGAGGACAGAUGCAGAGCACUACGGUCUAGGAGCACGAGGACAGAUGCAGAGCCUCGGUCUAGGAGCACGAGGACAGAUGCAGAGCACUACGGUCUAGGAGCACGAGGACAGAUGCAGAGCCUCGGUCUAGGAGCACGAGGACAGAUGCAGAGCCUCGGUCUAGGAGCACGAGGACAGAUGCAGAGCCUCGGUCUAGGAGCACGAGGACAGAUGCAGAGCCUCGGUCUAGGAGCACGAGGACAGAUGCAGAGCCUCUGUCUAGGAGCCCGAGGACAGAUGCAGAUCCUCGGUCUAGGAGCACGAGGACAGAUGCAGAGCCUCUGUCUAGGAGCACGAGGACAGAUGCAGAGCCUCGGUCUAGGAGCACGAGGACAGAUGCAGAGCCUCGGUCUAGGAGCACGAGGACAGAUGCAGAGCCUCGGUCUAGGAGCACGAGGACAGAUGCAGAGCCUCGGUCUAGGAGCACGAGGACAGAUGCAGAGCCUCGGUCUAGGAGCACGA